Molecule: ribosomal RNA, 283 nt
Filed under: Trachyrincus murrayi (roughnose grenadier)
Lineage: Eukaryota; Metazoa; Chordata; Actinopteri; Gadiformes; Macrouridae
Description: partial 28S ribosomal RNA
Rfam family: Eukaryotic large subunit ribosomal RNA
Source: RNAcentral
AAAAGAAACUAACAAGGAUUCCCUCAGUAGCGGCGAGCGAAGAGGGAACAGCCCAGCGCCGAAUCCCCGUCCGACGGGCGGAUUGGGGAAAUGUGGCGUAUGGAAGAUCGCUUGCCCGGUGUCGCUCGGGGGCUUGAGUCCUUCUGAUCGAGGCUCAUCCCAUGGACGGUGUGAGGCCGGUAACGGCCCCCGUCGCGCCGGGGUCCGGUCUUCUCGGAGUCGGGUUGCUUGGGAAUGCAGCCCAAAGCGGGUGGUAAACUCCAUCUAAGUCUAAAUACCGGCA